This 554-nucleotide ribosomal RNA is filed under the name Vibrio brasiliensis. RNAcentral describes it as "bacterial SSU rRNA". It matches the Rfam family "Bacterial small subunit ribosomal RNA", at positions 78 to 631 of the family's 1533-position model. The record is from RNAcentral. Lineage: Bacteria; Pseudomonadati; Pseudomonadota; Gammaproteobacteria; Vibrionales; Vibrionaceae.
GUUAACGGCGUCGAGCGGCGGACGGGUGAGUAAUGCCUGGGAAAUUGCCCUGAUGUGGGGGAUAACCAUUGGAAACGAUGGCUAAUACCGCAUAAUAGCUUCGGCUCAAAGAGGGGGACCUUCGGGCCUCUCGCGUCAGGAUAUGCCCAGGUGGGAUUAGCUAGUUGGUGAGGUAAUGGCUCACCAAGGCGACGAUCCCUAGCUGGUCUGAGAGGAUGAUCAGCCACACUGGAACUGAGACACGGUCCAGACUCCUACGGGAGGCAGCAGUGGGGAAUAUUGCACAAUGGGCGCAAGCCUGAUGCAGCCAUGCCGCGUGUAUGAAGAAGGCCUUCGGGUUGUAAAGUACUUUCAGCAGUGAGGAAGGCGGGUACGUUAAUAGCGUCCUUGUUUGACGUUAGCUGCAGAAGAAGCACCGGCUAACUCCGUGCCAGCAGCCGCGGUAAUACGGAGGGUGCGAGCGUUAAUCGGAAUUACUGGGCGUAAAGCGCAUGCAGGUGGUUUGUUAAGUCAGAUGUGAAAGCCCGGGGCUCACCCUCGGAAUUGCAUUUGAA